Molecule: ribosomal RNA, 431 nt
Filed under: Staphylococcus aureus
Lineage: Bacteria; Bacillati; Bacillota; Bacilli; Caryophanales; Staphylococcaceae
Description: bacterial SSU rRNA
Rfam family: Bacterial small subunit ribosomal RNA
Source: RNAcentral
UUUUAUGGAGAGUUUGAUCCUGGCUCAGGAUGAACGCUGGCGGCGUGCCUAAUACAUGCAAGUCGAGCGAACGGACGAGAAGCUUGCUUCUCUGAUGUUAGCGGCGGACGGGUGAGUAACACGUGGAUAACCUACCUAUAAGACUGGGAUAACUUCGGGAAACCGGAGCUAAUACCGGAUAAUAUUUUGAACCGCAUGGUUCAAAAGUGAAAGACGGUCUUGCUGUCACUUAUAGAUGGAUCCGCGCUGCAUUAGCUAGUUGGUAAGGUAACGGCUUACCAAGGCAACGAUGCAUAGCCGACCUGAGAGGGUGAUCGGCCACACUGGAACUGAGACACGGUCCAGACUCCUACGGGAGGCAGCAGUAGGGAAUCUUCCGCAAUGGGCGAAAGCCUGACGGAGCAACGCCGCGUGAGUGAUGAAGGUCUUCG